Ictalurus punctatus (channel catfish) is the source of this 4722-nucleotide long non-coding RNA. RefSeq lists it as uncharacterized. The record is from RefSeq and is a predicted model, not a curated record. Lineage: Eukaryota; Metazoa; Chordata; Actinopteri; Siluriformes; Ictaluridae. The transcript has 3 exons.
AACUCAGCUCUGGAAAAAACCUGUCAACAUUUAUGCAGGCAAAUUGACUUGGGGUCUCACACCCGCUUUAUCUUAAUUGUGAUAUCAACUGUCCUUAGUUAGGGAUUACCUUAAUGGGUGCAUCCAUUACAUUCAUGAACAUGAGGGAAAACAGAGGUUAAUGUAAAUUAUUGACACCUCACAGCAAUGCAAUUACAGUACAACUUAAUUACAGCUUUUGUCAGGCAAAUGACACAAUUGGUAAAUGCAGUCGGUAACCUAAAGCUAAAUAAAGCUCCACCCCAACCUUUUGCACACCCUUUACAACUUCUCACAUUCUAUAUUACUUUUUUGUCACAUAGGUAUGACAGUUACACACACAAAAAAAACCAAAACAAAACAAAAAAAAAAUACAAGGAGUGAAACCAUCAGUGCAAUGUGGGUCUGGCAAGCACUCUAGGAUAAAGUGUAAGAAUGUGUCUGCUCUGUGUGGCUUGUGCAGCUGUGACAGCAGAAAGCAGUCACAGGCAUUGUGUGUCAAGCAACAACAUGACAGAAAAAGCCCAUCUCCCAGCUUUACCUUUCUAUAAGCAGAUUUCCAGUAAUGAUGAAAAAAAUACAUGCCCAUAUUGGGACUGAGUCCAAACUGAAAGCUGGGUGGUAACUGUACAUUCUUGGACUAUGUUUUAUAUGAUUAGGGAUGGGUUAGAGCAAUUUCACUGGCUGUGAACCUACUCACAAAUUUGGAGUCCUAUUUAAUUGUUUACAUGUGUCUUAGAGAACAUUAGCAGUCCUGCUUGCUAUGUUAGGAAUAAUAAUUACUCCAGUACUGUACAUGUGAAAACCAACAUUAGUACAUUCACUGAAAUAAACAUAACAGCAAUUUGUCUCUCUCUCUCUCAAAAAUACAUGAAUUCACAGGGUGUGCUGAGUACCUCCACAUAUUAUGACCCCAAGCCAGUGGAACAUGGACUCGGUUAAAUAUUUGAGGUUUUAUAUAUUAUUUAAAAAACAAAACACCACUUUUUCCCAAGCGAUACACAUGUGUGAGGCUUAAUCCAGAUAAGUUCGAGUCAUUGUCAGGGUGAUAAGCUUGUGGUGCUGACUUCUUUAUGUACCCAUUCUGACAUGUGUAUAGUGUGCAGUGUAUUCACAUGGCCUCUUUUACCACCACCCACAGAUUCAUGAGAAAAACAAGUUACAUGCCGAAAGCUGCCAUCAUUGGCUGCCCACACAUGGGCAAAAAAAAAAGGAGGGUGUGGGGGACAAUGUGAAGGUGUUGCUGGCUGACGCCGCUGUAAGCCACUGUGGCUCAGGUGAGGCGGGUGCUCCUUUCAGGUCCAUCAUCUGCACUCUUCCCAUCAUACUCAUGAGAAACUCCCAGCGUGCCUUCAGGGCCAUCUCUCGCCAGUAACAGGUAAGCCUGUUGACACAUGUCAAAUCCCUCUUCUUUCUCCUGUGUGUGUGUGUGUGUGUGUGUGUGUGUGUGUGUGUGUGUGUGUGUGUGUGUGUGUUUUUUGUUCCCCUCCUCUCCUCAAAGUUUUCGUGAACAUCGUGCAACGCCCUGUCUAAACCGCAGACAUCAGAAAAACCGCCCGAGCGAAGCCAGGACUUGUUUGAUUGCGCUGCCUCGCAACCUGGGCUUGCACACACACCCACCGCUUCACCUCAGAAGAACGCACACACACACCUCAACCGACGUCAACAAUGCCACAUGUCCUUCACCUAACAAUCCCUGAGGCCUGAUCCGGCCUGGGCCAAAGCCAUAGCUAGAAAAAAAAUGGUAAGAUGCUGAUGGAUAAAGGAGCUUGUGGAUUCCUGGGACAGGUGUCGGAUGCAGGGACUAUUUGAUCAUUUUACAUGUGUAGAGCGAGCAGGAAAAUGGAGAAAGCCAAGGUGGCAAAGGUUUGAUGUGCUCUGUCAUCAUGAAAAAUAAAAAUCAAGGCACAGCACCAAAAUGCGACUUGUACAAAGGAUUUUAAGAAUUACACAGUAAGGUAAAUAAAAUAAACAUAAUCAACAUACACCAUCUUCAAAAACAGUUAUUCUAAUAAGAUGCUCUCAAUUGAAUUUGAUUUGCAAAGACUGGCAUAAUUCUUGGGAAAUUUUUCAAUUUCAAAUGGCUAUUAUUUUGUAACGAUAUAGUGAGCGAGUACAAGAUCUGUUCCAGGAUGAAAAUGCUAGCACUGCAAAAGCCAAGCAAAAGAAAACUCAAUCGGUGAUUAACAUGACUGCUUGGGCAGAGGAUUAUAAAUUCUAGUACUGCCUAGUACUGGAUAAAGGACAUCUUCCCUGAAGGCACCAGUUGUUCCAGUCUAGGCAGCACUGCAUCAGAUACUUAUGUGCAAGUUACCUAUGCCAUGGGUACUGACACCCCCCCAUACCAUGACAGAUGCUGGCUAUUGGAUCUGAAGCUUGGGUGGUCCUUUUCCUCUUUGGUCCGGAGAACACGAUGGCUGUUUUGUCCAAUAACUAGGUGAAAUGUUGUCUCGUCGGGCCACAAAACAUGAUUCCACUGUACUACUACUGUCCAUCUCAGAUGAGACCAAGCCCAGAGAAGUCUUCUGGACAGUGUUGAUGUAUGGCUUCACUUAACUUGCAUCUGUGGAUGUAGCGGUGAAUGGUAUUGACUGACAAAGGUUUCCCAAAGUAUUCCGGAGCCCAUGUCAAGAUAUCCAUUACAGACUCAUGACGGUUUUUAAGACAGUGGCAUCUGAGGGAUUGGAGAUCCCACGCAUUCAGAAGUGGUUUUUGGCCUUGCAAUAUACACACCGAGAUUUGACCAGAUUCCUUGAAUCUUUAAUUAUAUUGUGCACUGUAGAAGGUGAAAUGCCCCAAACCCUAUCGAUUUGUCUUUGGAGAAUGUUGUUAUUAAAGUUGUUAUUUGAUGAUACAUCUGUUGGCAGACUGGUGAACCUUGACCCAUCCUUGCUCUUAAAGGACUAGGACUUUUUUGGAGGCUCUUUAUAUACUAUGAUUAGAUGAUAGCCUCACCUGCUUCACAUCACCUCCUUAUUUCAACUUGUCACACUGCUAUUAGUCCUAAAUUGCCCCAGUCUUUUUUGGAACAUGUUGUGUGCAUCAAUUUCAAAAUAAACAUUUACCUUCAAAAAGUUAUGCAGUUGAUUAGGUAAAACAUCAAAUACCUUGUCUUUAUAUGAUUUUUGUUUAAUUACAAGUCAAAGUACAUUUACAAUUCACUCCUCUUUGUUUUUAUUAGCAUUUUCCAUAUUUUCUCACUUUUUCAGAAUUGAGGUUAUACUAUUUGUAUUUGUAUUUUUUUGUCACACUGAAUAUUGACUUUGUUUCAUUUACUACUGUUUACUGUUCUUUAUGGUAUUUUUUUAAUGUAGAAACAUUUAAUUUCAUUAUUUUGAAAGCAUCUUUGCCUUACACCAUUUAUUUGCAUGUGCCUAAAUCAUUUGCACAGUACUGUAGGUAAGUGUUACGAAAGGGUUACACAACUCUUCGCAAUAACUCCUCUGCUUCAAAGGUGCAGCUGGGUCAUAUGUUUUGUAAAUCUAACAGAUGUCUUGAUGAAUACCUCAAAGAAGGUUUCCAAAACAUAUAUACAAUUCCAUGCAUGAAAAACACUUUAAUGCAUUGAAAAAAUCCUGGAUCCCCAUUCCACCAUCCUGAUACCACCACUGCAGCCCUCACCACAACUGAGGAACAACAGAAACAACACUGUACCUCUAUUCGAUUAUUUUAAAGACAUGUAUAUUAUCAGAACACAUUCUGAUGGAGGGUUUGGGUGAUGACAGGUGUCGUCUGGCAACAAAUAAACAGCAUUGUUACAUGAGAAAGAACAAUGGUUGCACAGAAACACUGCAUGAAUUGAGUGUAAUAUAUGUUAGUAGACAAGAAUGUCUACACAAAACAUGAUGUGCCAGUGCUGUUGCUUCUGGCAAUCACCUGUGCAAGCAACCACAACUGGCAAUACAAACUGGCCAAAACCUUUAAGCACAGCAAGGGCAGCUCCUGGUGGCAAUUUCAACAACACUUUUUAUGAUCUUUGACUUUGCUCAGCAAUGUCCGCCAUUGUCUUAUCAUACAUUGAGAAACAAGAUAGAACAAAUGGUGCUUUUGAUGGAGGACAAAUGAAUGUAAAUGUUUUGGUGAAAACACUGAGCAAGUCCAUUAAGCGUCAAGGCGAGGAUUUGCUUGUAAGUUGCUUGGAAUGAAUACAUGUAAACAUGCUCUAGUCCCACAGAAACUUCAACCAUCUAUCUCUACAUGGCCGUUCCCUUGAUAUCCCAACUGGUCCCAUCAUAACCCUGCUUCCUUCCAGCUAUAGCUCCUUCCAUCCCUCCCUGUGGGUCUGGGUAUGCACAACCUGUAAUUGUGGAGUAGCCACAGCACAUAGACUGUGAUAUAAAUAUCAAUUUCUGCUAUUCCUGUGAAAAUAAAGCAUGCUGUGAAAAAAAGAGAAAGAAUGGCUCUUUUUUCAUGUCCUAUUUCAGGUUAUUCUCAGAGCCCGGCACCUACAGCAUCCUGAGCACUGCCUCUAUGAAUGUGAUGCACUGCACUAUUGUGUUUAGCUCUUAAGACUGUGACUUCAUGCUUUCAAAUUGCUAUUUCCAUUCUUAAACAAUGCUUCGAUAUCAGUUAUCAGAGUUAUAAGAGGCUCCUAGACACAGGAGAUUAAAGAAUAUAUAAAAUAUUUUUAUGACAUUUUAAAUUCAUCUGAAAUACUAAGUAACUCUUUUGAGUGACCAAAUGAUGAAAAAAAUGUUUCUAAUA